RNAcentral lists this ribosomal RNA (800 nucleotides) under Candidatus Portiera aleyrodidarum (primary endosymbiont of Bemisia tabaci). Its description in RNAcentral is "partial 23S ribosomal RNA". It matches the Rfam family "Bacterial large subunit ribosomal RNA", at positions 1672 to 2452 of the family's 2925-position model. Lineage: Bacteria; Pseudomonadati; Pseudomonadota; Gammaproteobacteria; Johnevansiales (SeqCode); Johnevansiaceae (SeqCode). The record is from RNAcentral.
UAGAGAAUACCAAGGCGCUUGAGAGAACUCGGGUGAAGGAACUAGGCAAAAUGGUGCCGUAACUUCGGGAGAAGGCACGCUGGCAUGUAGGUGAAUUCCGUAUCGGAGGGAGCUGAAGCCAGUCGCAGAGACCAGCUGGCUGCAACUGUUUAAUAAAAACACAGCACUGUGCCAACACGAAAGUGGACGUAUACGGUGCGACGCCUGCCCGGUGCUGGAAGGUUAAUUGAUGGGGUUAGCCGCAAGGCGAAGCUCUUGAUCGAAGCCCCAGUAAACGGCGGCCGUAACUAUAACGGUCCUAAGGUAGCGAAAUUCCUUGUCGGGUAAGUUCCGACCUGCACGAAUGGCGUAAUGAUGGCCAGGCUGUCUCCACCUGGGACUCAGUGAAAUUGAAAUUGCUGUGAAGAUGCAGUAUACCCGCGGCAAGACGGAAAGACCCCGUGAACCUUUACUAUAGCUUGACACUGAACAUGGAGCCUUGAUGUGUAGGAUAGGUGGGAGGCAGUGAAUCGUGGACGCCAGUCUGCGAGGAGCCACCCUUGAAAUACCACCCUUUAAUGUUUGAUGUUCUAACUUUGCCCCGUGACCCGGGGUGAGGACAGUGUCUGGUGGGUAGUUUGACUGGGGCGGUCUCCUCCCAAAGAGUAACGGAGGAGCACGAAGGUUGGCUAAGUACGGUCGGACAUCGUACGGUUAGUGCAAUGGCAGAAGCCAGCUUAACUGCGAGACAGACACGUCGAGCAGAUACGAAAGUAGGUCAUAGUGAUCCGGUGGUUCUGAAUGGAAGGGCCAUCGCUCAA